GAGACACUAGUAAAACUGUUAUUACAUUGCCUUGUCAAGGCAAAAUUGCAGGUUGAAACCCUGCGUGCCUUA
RNAcentral lists this transfer RNA (72 nucleotides) under Psephurus gladius (Chinese swordfish). RNAcentral describes it as "tRNA-Asp". It matches the Rfam family "tRNA". Rfam says of the family: Transfer RNA (tRNA) molecules are approximately 80 nucleotides in length. Their secondary structure includes four short double-helical elements and three loops (D, anti-codon, and T loops). The record is from RNAcentral. Lineage: Eukaryota; Metazoa; Chordata; Actinopteri; Acipenseriformes; Polyodontidae.